UCGGCUGUGGUGUAAUUGGUAACACAUCGACCUUUGGAGUCGUAUAUUCCAGGUUCGAGUCCUGGCAGCCGAGC
Molecule: transfer RNA, 74 nt
Filed under: Phytohabitans suffuscus
Lineage: Bacteria; Bacillati; Actinomycetota; Actinomycetes; Micromonosporales; Micromonosporaceae
Description: tRNA-Gln
Rfam family: tRNA
About the family: Transfer RNA (tRNA) molecules are approximately 80 nucleotides in length. Their secondary structure includes four short double-helical elements and three loops (D, anti-codon, and T loops).
Source: RNAcentral